RNAcentral lists this long non-coding RNA (34576 nucleotides) under Malus domestica (apple). RNAcentral describes it as "long non-coding RNA (MDOM_LNC003574)". Lineage: Eukaryota; Viridiplantae; Streptophyta; Magnoliopsida; Rosales; Rosaceae. The record is from RNAcentral.
CCGAUCUAUUUGUAUUUCUUUUCAUUUGUAAGUAAGAUGUUUUAUAUUCGAUUCUCACCAAAUGCAAAUUUGAACCAUAUUAUUGAUCCCCCUCCUUGCUGUAGAUAAUACCGAUUGUUAAAAACAAAAAUAUAUAUAUAUGUGUGCGUAUGUGUGUGUGUGUUUAUUGCGUUUAAGUUAUCUAUAAAAUAAAGCAAUUGAACGUUGCAUAACCUAUAUUUUUAAAAGCGUUAUGAUUAUGAAAAGUAAUAUUAAAGCGCUUUGUAAUUUUUAACAUGAGUAAUAUAACUGUAUAUAAUUAUGGGGGUGAUGAUAGGGACAAUGGUGGAGUUAUAGUGGUGGUGUCAAUAGUAGAGCGUGAUGGUUGGAGUGAGGAGGUAGCAAUGGUGAUUAGUAGAAGUGGUGACAAUUAUGGUAGUGGUUGUGGCGGUGGCGGUGACAACAAUGGGGGCAUCGAUGGUGAUGGCAGCAAUGAUAGGGGUAUGGAGAUGGUGCCAAUAGUCGAGUGUGGCUAAGGUUCUGUUUGAUAUUGUUUUUCUUUCACCAAAUAAAACAAGUAUAUUUAGACAAAAAUUUAUGUAUGUUAUUUUUUAAUUAGCACAAGAUGUCAUCGUAGUGUUAUACCCAUGGUAUAUAAGUCCCUCUCUCAUUUAUUGUAAUAUCUGGUUGUAUCAAAACAAGAAGGGAAAAAACAUUUCGAUACUAAAUAUCGAAUGGCUCAAUAUUCUUAACUUGUGUUCGUUUUUGUAAUAUACAUAUAUUGAUUUUUGAACAUUGUCAAUAAAUUAAGGGCUUGUUUGGAAAUGCUUUUAAAAUGACUAAAUGUGCUAUUGGUGAAAGUGUUUCUGGGUUCCAAAAGCACUUGAGGUGCUUUCUACAAUAAGCACAUUUCAAGAUUUACUUGCACUUUCACUAAUGAUUGGUUCUAAAAACACUCUCAUAAAAAACAAUUUCAGUUAUUUUAAAAACACUUCCAAACGAAUGCUAAGUGUAGCUAACUCUUGAGAGCUUUGACAUUAAACCUCCAGCAAAUCAUAUGGGUUUGAUUGAUUGGAUAUUUUAUACGAUUUCUCCUUUGUUCCUUGAAAAGCUAUUUACAACCUGUUAUAAAAUUUGCGAUCAAAGAAAUAAGUUAGGUUCGUAUGGUAAUGUUUUAGAAAACGAUUUUGAAGAACUAUUUUGUAAAACAAAAAGGACAGAAUUUUGCAUUUUUAUGAUUUGAAAAUGCGUGCGUCUGGUAGUUUAAUCUGAGAGCAGUUUUUGAAAAUGAAAACAUUUCCAACUGGUUUGUGUUUGAUGAUAGUAGUGUUUUUGUAAUGUAACUAAGAUGAUAAAAAACAACAGUAAAUUUGUGUUUAAUAGCAACGUGUGGCCGUUUUAUGAUCUCGUUGAAGUGUUUGGUUUAACAAUUUUCAUAAUAUAAUAUUAUGUAGGUUAACAUUUGAUUUGUAUGGAAUAAGACCAUCUCCAAACGAGAUGUCAAAUUUUGAACAUAAAAUUUAAAUUUUGACCGUUUAUGUGAUACUUUAACAUCUUUUAAAGUUUUGUUCUCCAACCGAUAUGUCAAAUUAAAUUAUUAUUUUAUUAUUUUAUAAAAUAAAUUAUUAAACUAAUUAAAAUUUAAUAAAAAACAUUUAAAAUUUAAUUUGUAAUUUGUUCAUCUUCCUUGAUUGAAAAGAAGAAAAAAGUAGGAUAAUUAUAUCCAUAAACUCAACAUUAAUUAUAAUAAAUGAUUAAACUAAUUAAAAAUUAAUAAAAUACAUUUAAUAAUUAAUAAAUAAAAACAUUUGAAGCUGCUGUCAAAUUUGACAGCAACCUCUUUUGCUGCCAAUCCAUGUCAUCGCAACAUAAAAUUUGGCACUUCGGUUGGAAAAUAUUAGUGUGAUAUUUUUUUUUACUGUUAUAGCUGAUGUGUACAUUUUAGUCAUAAGAUCUCAUUGUAAUUUACUCUUGUUUUCAGAAGGAAUGAAAAAAAAAAAAAAAAAAAAAAAAAAACCUAAUGAAAAGGAAUUGAAAACUUUUAGUUUUAACGAUAAGGACAAAACAAAUGGUAAAGUAAAUAGUACCAAGAUUGACUUUUUAGUGUUAAAAUGUGGUUUUUCGUUAAAGUAAACAGUAGCAUGAGCUUUUCGUUAAAGUUCCACAAAAAAAAAUGGUACGCUUCCCCUUCUGUUCUCAUGUUCAUCUCGCGUUGCCUUUUUUCAUCGGUCACAUCAUGUUUUCCUACUCUCUCAAGCUAUAUACUAUGCAACCCUCAUUUGCGGUUUAGAAUUGGAUUCAAAGCAAGCUUGAAGUUGUGUCCUAGACUCCUAGUUAGGGUUCUGCAAUGAUUAUGGCAUGCAGGUAACUGUGAUUAUUUACCCAUAGCCAAUUUCAAGAUUGAGCAGUGACCAUAACUCAGCAUGUAAAAUUGCUCCUGCACCUAGGUGAGCAGUUUGGGAGCAGCCUCUCCAUAAAUGGGGGUAAGGCUAGCCGACAUUCACCUCUCCCAGACCCUGCGUAAAGCGGGAGCCUUGUGCACUGGGUACGACGACCUAGGUGAGCAGUGAAUCCAAAAUUCAAUCAGAUUUCCAAUCCCUACUAAGACCCCCUCACCCAAGCUAAGAGAGCUUCACUUCAGUUCUUAGGGCUGGAUUGGUAUUGUUGUGCUUUGAAAAAAACUGCUCUUACUGUGCUGUGAAAAUAAACGGCUAUGAAAUAAAGUUAUAAAGUGUUUGGUAAACUUUUUUGUAAAAAUGCUUUUGAAAAAAAAAACAGUAUUAUAAUGUUUGGUAAACUUUUAUGUAAAACAAAUGUGAAAAAAAAACCGAUUUUUCAAAGCUGGGUUUUGCAGCUUCUUGUUUUUGGCUUUUUUUCAUCCAAAACUGUGAAAAAAAAGCUGAAGUUGAAUGUUUACCAAACACAAAGAAAACCCCAGCUUUUUUUCAUACCAGCUUUUAUUUUAGGGAAUUUUAACGAAAAGCAUCUGGUACUGUUCACUUUAACGAAAAACCACAUUUUUACACUAAAAAAUCAAUCCUGGUACUAUUCACUUUACCCUUUAUUUUGUCCUUAUCAUUAAAACUCAAAGUUUUCAAGCCCUUUUCAUUAGUUUUCCUUUUAUUUUAAUCACCUCAAUCCCAAACUGCACCUUAGUGGCCUAUUAUUCAAGGGUACGUUAGCCUUGAACCAAUUUUGGGCAUAUUGCAGAAUACAAUCACAGCAGGACCAUUGGGGAAGCAAAAAUCCAGGUCAAAAACCUUAAGAACAUCUCUACUUCCCAUCAUACCAACAAGCAACAGCAAAAAUAAGACUCCAAUCAAGCCCAACAAACCUGAUUUAGAGUACUUCAAAGUUUGACUCGAACCCUCACGCACCCUCACCAUCAGUUUAAAUAAAUCAAACAGAAACACGGUCAAGAUUAAACAAGGGUGUCUGAGAAGUAAAAAAAUUACCAGGUCCAAACAAUUCAAACCAUGCACUUGAACUUGAUUUUAUCAUCCGUAGAUUCUGUACAAGGAUUCAGUUUUAAGAAGUGCUCGAGUUUGCUCCUCUUGACGCGUAACAUAAAUAGGUUGUCAUUAUACUACAGUACUGUUUACCAGGGAGAAUGUAGAGUUUUCAAACACACAAAAUAUUGAAUUUAUAAAUACAUACACGCGGGCACACAACAGAUGAUCCUUGAACUAGAGCUGCCAUUUGUAAUAUGCCAAUCCUGCAUUCCGAUCAUCAGAAGAUGUAGUUGGGCAGCUGGAGGGGAAACCGUGCCACUGCAACCUCAAACGGGCCACCCUUUGGCACCCUCAAACUAAAACCAGAGACACAACACAAGUUACAACUAUCAAAUGAUAUACUUAUGAUAUUGCUUCCAUAAAGCCUUUCAACAGAGUGGAGUGGCAAACUUAAUAUGUAUAUCUAUGAUUGUUACAAAAUAGAUUUUAUGCACACAAGAGUCAUAAUUGAUAUGUUCAUACAGAUUUUGGCUAACAACCGGAAUUCAAACUAGAAAAAUUCGAAGUUCGUGAUACAGAAAAAUCAAGUUGGUGAAAGAUCAGCCAAGUAGGAACGUCCUUCAACAUAACUACUUUUGAUAUGGUGGAAGUUGCUCCUAUGUAGCUCCGAAUGACAAAACAUAAAGUCCUGGCUUUAUGGAGUUUGGUUAGCCUCUUCUCUCUUGCUCUUAUUACUCGUCUAACUACCCCAUUUCUUGUCCAAAACUACACUUAUAAAAAUAUCCAGCUAAAAUAUGUUGGUUUGGCUUUUCCAUGAAUUCAAUUCGAUGCUAUUUCUACUCUACAUUAUGGGUUAAAGCAAUUCCUUAGAGAUUCUACAUUCCAAGUAAAGUUCUCGAUCAUCCCAAUUUUAAACCAACAACUCAACAGGCUGAGAGUAUGGGUCAACUAGGGGCUUAUUUGGGAAUGCUUCGACAGGAAACACUGUUGCUCAUAAUUACUUAGCAAAAGCUUCAAGUUUUUUCUGCCAAACGUGAUCAUAAGCACUUUUGGUUAUCAGAAAACAGUUUUGGCCCUUUCAGCAGUCUCAAACAUGCCCAAAAUCAGAGUCAUAAGCAUCAUGCACCAAUCUUAAAAUCUGAACUAAAACCCCAGGUGCUAACUGAAGAAGGAAAAAUUACAGUGGAAAGAAAAAAUCACAUAUUAAUUUCCGUCUCUUCAUUGGCAAGGACAAAAUCUAAACAGGCAAAAAAACCCUUUUCUUUUUAUCACGGGAAUAAAGAAAUAGCUGAAUCAGUUCAAGCAAAGGAACCGCCAGUGCUCCAAGGUUGUAUAUAACCACAAUACGAUGCUUUUCAAUCUUGGUCCAAACAAAACAAAAUAUGCUUUCAAUCACAUUUUGGGUGCCACGUAAUCUACUUAGGAAGAAAACAUAAAAGUUGUUGUACAGGAAUUUAGGUCAAGUACCUGCCAGGGACAAAUGUAAAAGAACCUUCAAUAGAACCUGAAGAAGAUGGUAGACAAGAGUAACUCUCAUAAACGAAUUCCUCUUCACCUGGACGCAAGAGUGGGUACUGCAAACAUGUAUAAGUAUAAGAUUUCUAACAGAAAAUUUAUUCUCUUUUCAUGCGUCGUUUAUAUUACAAUCAGAAGUGUGACCUCCAAAAUAAUUUUAACACUUGUCUACUUUUCUUCUUCUCAAGUGGAACCCAAAAUUUAUUAAAAAAGUCAAAAGUGCAAUUGUGGAGGAGUCCACUCUCAAAUUAAAUCACUCACUCUAACUGCCUAAACAAUAUACAUGACAAUUAAGAAUUAGACUUCCAAACCACAACACAUCAAUUCACAGCAGCAAUGCUGACAAGGAAGGCUUCCUAAAUUCUAAAGAAAUGUAGACAAAAACUAAAAUUUCAAUGCUCACCAUCACCCACCCGAGUGUUCCUGAAAAAGCUUUAUAUUUGACUCCAUAAAAAUGACUAAAAUGAUAAGAUACACCUUGAGAAAUAUAUUUUCAAGGGGUUUGCCUUGAUGUCUGAGCAUGGAUUUGGCAAUCCAACCAUUAGUAGCAAUUCCAUACUUACUCCUAUCAACCUUAUGCCACAAAGAGUCAGCUUACAAAGGGUAUCUCCACAACGACUUCCCAAUAAAUGCUUUAUUUUUCUCAUUAAAUUAACCACACCUAUGCUCCCUUAUCCUUGCUUCUAUCCACCAAGUGAUCGUUCUUUCCUCCUCUCUCCUCUUUCUCCCUCUCCUGCGACCCUAUCUUUUUAAAUCUCUUUGUCUAGUUUAAGUCGUAAGAUUUAAAAAAUUUAAAUCGCAAACCAAUCAAGUUUUUUAGUCUUGAAGAAAAUUGUUUUCAAGAAAUGUUUUAAGAAAUGAUAAAAAAUUUAAAAUAGGAUACAAAACAGCCCCUAAAUUCUCAGAGUAUCCAACGUGCUAUAUUUAUAAAGACAAAUGCUGCGGGGACUUGGUCAAAAAGCGAGUCUCCCCGAACUCUCCCGCCACGUAUACUCCCUCUCUAAUGCAUCAAUCCUGUAUAUGGGCCCCACCAUUGUUACGAUUAAAAUUAAAAUUUUAUUUUUCUCUCCUCUCCAGCAUCUUUUCUUAUCACCUCACUGAAAAACUUAACAGCAUCUUCUCUUCAUCUUCACUGGAUUAAAACUCACUUCACCUUCCUCCUCGCUUCUCCUCUGUUUGCAUCACGGCAGAUGUACCAUCACCGCCAUCACCCCAACAUGAAGUCCUCCUCCAUGAAUGUAAAACCCGGAAAUUUCCCAAUCUGAAAACUCAGAUCAAUAUAGAAGAACUAAUUUUUCCUUUUGUCUUUCUCAUCACCAAAAUUGGUUUAGGUAGUUAAUGAAAGCUAAAAUGGGUUUGAGCAUCAUAUAUUAAUUCUUUCAAUCUUGUGAAUUUGAGAAAUAUAAAUUAAUAUUAAAACAUUAAUGGUGAGAUUUGAGACGGCGGCAUAUACAAACCGCAGAUCUGCUAGAUGAUGAACCAUGAGAAGGUGGAAUAGAGAACUGGAAUUUUGGCAGCCAUGGUUACCAAUUCAUGGUUUGAGUUUACUGGAAUUUUUGCAGGGAAUUAAUGGUUUUUUUUUCGUCCAUCAGGAAGGAGAGGGAGAGUGAUGAAGGACAGAGAAAUUAUGAUUUUCAAUUGCACUUUUAUCUUUGAAUUAUUUUAAUAGUGCGACCCAUGUCUAAUUUAAUUCAGGACGCAUGUAUGGAGAGUCUUUCCGGACUCGCUUUUGAGUGAAUCUGGCUAGCAUUUCUCUUUUAUAAAAAAAUCUGCAUGGUUUAGAAGGAAAAUAAGUCUUCUGGUAAGAGUAACGCACCUCAGCCAAGUGAGCUAUACGGAUUAAGCAGAUAUUAGGACUAGUAACUAUGACAUGGCAUCAGCAGAUUGUUUAAAAGAAAUUGUUUGAAAUACAUUUAUAGGGUCAUGUCUUUAAACACCCCUCCAUUGAAAGGUAGAUAACUGUCUAUCUACUAAAGGGAAGAAGAGUGAUUCAAUUAGAUUCUGGAAAAAUAAUCUGAUAAUGGAAGCAACUGACCAAGUGAAAUCGUACCUGUCCAAUAACAGCUUCUCCUCCAACAUCAGCUACCACAACAUCAUUAGAACGAAUGAUCCAGUGCCUCCAAUUCAACUGACAAGAGCUGAAUGGCAUUCCAUUAAUCACACAUCCUUCAGGAAGAAGGGACAUGCGGAUCGAAUAAGAAAAUGUAUACUUUUCAGAAGUAUUUUCAAGAUCAGCACGCUCUGGGACAAACACAGCAGAAGCACGAACCUAAAACAAAAAUCAUGGUAUAAAUAUUUAUAUUGCAAUUGAAAAGUUAAAGUAGUCAUUCAUGUAAUUGCAUUCAGAAUUACUGUCAAACAAAUCACUGUGACGAACAGUAUUUUGUAAGAAGAAUGGAAAGACCAAUAGCGUUUUAGAACAAGUAAUAAAACUAUAAGCAUGCAUAGUAAUGUUUAAGAACUUAAAAGUCCCCCAUAAAAUGAGGGAGGUCGCAAGCAAAACAAAUUUUGGAUCCAGCUUUCCAGCUCAUGUCUGACAUGUGAGGUCCCUAAGAUAUUUUCUAUCUGGAAACUAUUGGCACCUUCUAACAGCGUAGAUAUUACCUGCUUAUUUAUCAAGAAAAGAGGUAAUGAGGAACUAAAUGUGGGUUUGCUGACUUCAAUUGAGGCACAGUAACAAUCUACAAUCAGGCGAUUCUCAAUGCAAAUGCCCAUGAAACAAAGUUAAAUCUGUUCAUUCCAAUAUACAUCAACCACGACAUAUACUUUCCAUAUUUAUUUGUUUUUGACUAGCCCCAAGAGAGAGGAAAUAAAAGGAAAUCAUUAUGCAAAGGAUUGCACACUUUCAAAGACAUGCGAACGAAAAAAUACACACAAUUGACUACCUUUACGCCAUUUGUUAUAGCAGUGGAACAAAGAGGGGAUUCUUCUGGAAACUGACUGAUGGUUCUGAAAUUUUCUUCUUGACGAAGUUUAAUAAUGCCAUUUUCUAAACGACGGCCAUGCUCUUCUAACCAAAGCAGCAUGCCAUCCUGCUGUUGAUCAACAUUGCAAUCAUGAAUUGAACUUAUCAACGCAUCUGGUACGCAAGGAAGCAUUUGCCCAUCAGUUGGAAGAUUUCUGGUACCAACAUAGAGUUGACCACUUGUACAGUUCAGGAAAAAUAACUUCCCGCUAUAUGUACAAGAAUCCGCCACAACAACAUAUUCUGAUCUACCAGUAAAACCCAGUUUACGUCUGAUCUUCAUUGUUUCUAAGACUACCUGACGUAAAGGCAUCAAAUACACAGUUACCGAGUGGUCAUAAAAUGCAUAACCACCUAUGAGGCCCAAUGGGCAGCCAACCAGGCUAUUUUGAAAAUGUUUUUCCUCAAAAGCUUGACCAUUAUGAAAACGAUACAGGAUCCUUGUUGGAAGAGGAAGUUUCACUUUCAAGAUUUUCUCCACCUCUUGUAUAUUAGCUUCUGAUGCACCCUUUUUCAGUGUAGAAACAGCCUCUGGAAAAUUAAUAGUCAACCAGUUUCUAAUUUUGUCCCAGCAUCUUUUGACUCGCUUUACAAGCGACCAAGGAUACAUUUUAAAAGAUACACGCCAUAGUUGGUAACUUUCCUGAAGAGAGGAGGUGUGUUAUUAAAAAUAAUAUUAUUUGACAAGAUAUUAAAUAUAUAACAAAUUCAAAAAGGUGUCAACCCUGCUACUCGAAAUAUGAUCCAUGAAAUCUUCACGGCUACAGAGCUCCAUGAAGUUUUAGACAAUCAUACACACCAAAAUAGUGAAGCUGCUAGGAAAUUUAGCAAAAUAUGUAUAUCAUGUUAACACGCCAUCACAUGCAGCCCCGUUCUGCAUGUGAGAGGCAAAGAAAUGUAAACAGAGAAAGACAUAUAAGUACCUCCCCACCCUGCACCUUGAAACCCAACAAAAGAAGUGGGGAACAGUGUUUAGAGGUUUAGAAUCCAGGACCUUCUACAAAUCAAAGUUCUGAUACCAAGUUGGACGAUAACUAGACCUCAAAGAAUUAAGCCAUUAGGUGAUGGCCCCAAACAUGGAUCAAGCGAAAAAGGACUAUAUUCCUUGGAAAUCAAGCCAUGUCUCACAGCGGUGCUACAAGUUUUGGACCAAAUAUGAUAUGUACAAUGUAUUUAAGCAAAAAAACUGAGAAGCUUACCGCAAGAACUGCACAAAAAGUAUAAGUAGACAUCUAAAGACCAUGAGACUGCACAUAUCAGCUCUCGGUCAUCCUAUAGACGCUCAAGAAACAAUACUCGCUAAAGUAUGUUUCGAAUUUAGAAUCGAGAAGCAAAUUUGAACCUAACAAACCCCUACCCACUACCCACACUAUUAUUUUAACUAGACCCUUAAAAUUUGAGUCUUCAACCCAAGUUCCCAACCGAUCAAUCCGUCAUGUUAAUACGCAGUCUGUGCAAAAGCCUAUGAUGUAUUUCCUAUGAAAUGUCCACAAAUACAAUCGACCCGAAUCAAAUUGGAAGAAUUUCAAUCUUUUAACAACUUUGGAGAGAAAUGAGAGGUCCCUAUAAAACCAACCCAGAACCCAAAACACAGAAGUAAACACUAACCCACAAACCAGACUGAAAAUUCAACAUUUUUUCAUUUGAUCAUGAUCACAUACACUGAUAUACAUAAGAAAUCGGAAGAAAAGUUGGAAAAUUGUGUGAAUAUAUAUACGAUUCAUACAUAAAAAUCUGAAUUCAAAGGCCAAAAGUUUGUGAGAAAUUGACCUUGAAAGAAGGGGCGAGGUUGCCAAGGGGGUCGAGGGGUUGCGAGAGGUGAAGGUCUCGAGCACAGAAAAGGGACCAAAGGGAUUCAUCGGAGGCGGAAGCUCUGAGUUUGGUGCUGACGCAUGCUGCUUUCGCUGAGUCUUCCGCUCCUAACUUGCUGAGGAUUAUGUGCAGCGCAAGAUCACCCACUGCCUCCAAAUUCAUCUCUCAGAUUCAGCUCUUACUCUCGCUUUCUCUUUCAGCCUUUCAGGUGCCUUCUACUGCGAUGGCGCGGACGCGUUUAUAUACGCUGCCUAAACUCACUGUCGAAUGUUCUACAGCGAUAUAGAGAAAAGAGGCACGCAUCCCAUUUUAUUUUUACACAGCUUGAUAAUUUCUGUCGAUGAGCUUCUUCAAUUCAUUCGAUUUAACGGUCGAAAAUUAAAAAGGUAUAUAAAAAGUAAAAUUGAGCGUGGAUAUCACAUCUUAGAGAAAAUUGGUGCAAUAGUAUUAAUAAUAAUAUUACAAUUAAAUAUGAAAAGUUUUAGAUUCGAAUGUCAUGGAUAACAAAUUUGAUACCAAAUUAAGUUGUUUAUUGUGUGGCUUAGCCGAACUCCCUCUCUCCUUAGUAUAAAAAUAUCAAUGUAUUCAAAGAAAAAAUAAUGGAGUUCUGGGUUGACUUAAAAAUACAUGAGUAUUUGUAAGAGAUUUAUAAAAAAUAGUAAAAUACUUACGAAUUUUCAUUUCAGGAACUAAAAUUCUAAUCGAGUUAAAAUUUAAGAAAUAUUGCUCCAAUUAUCCCAAUAUAUGAUGUCCUUCCAAAAAAUUUUAUGUGUUUCCCCCAAAAAAAAAAAUUAAAAAAUUAUGUGCUAGAGUAUAUGCUAUUCUACGAUUUUAACCUUUUUAUGUUUGACUUUUUAACCGUCUAAUCUUGAUUUCUAUGUAUUUUUAAUGAAUAAACUAUUCAGAGCAUUGGAUACUCAAAUUGUCAUAAAGAAGUCCCAUGUCCUAACUUCUAAGUAAAGCACCAUAAAAUUUGAAAAGUAUCAUGUUCUGAGUAUUAAUGGUAGCAAGUCACUUAGUUUUACCGUUUAAUAAUAUUUUCAUUCAUUUAUAAAUCGGAAAUUUUUAAUUUUAAUUUUGUGAAUGAUUUGAUACUAAUUUACUCUUCCAUUUUUUUUUUUUUUUGUAAAUACCAUUGUAUGGAAAGAAACUACAACCAUCUCUAAUACCAAGGUAGUAAAUUCCAGCUGUGUGGCUCACUAAAAUACAUUUUGGUACGCUCUUCUUCUUUUUUUCAAUUCGAACCUCCUGGUAUUAUACCAAUUAAUAUUAUGAUUUAGUGAUUUUUUUUUUUCUUCUUAUAAACGAAAAAUCUCGUGUUUAACUCACAUAGAUGACGAGUUCAAUACCAAUUUAUUUCUCCAUCAUGUAAUUAUAUGGCGCUAAAUACCACCAAUUGGUCAUGACAAUCACUACUGUUACAUUACUUCUUGGAUGAAUUUGAUUUAACCUUAUUCUGCAUGCCAAUUUUUUGAAAGUCUUCAAUUAAGGUGAAGCUAGAAUUUUGUGGCUCCAAAACCUAGAGCCAAGUUAAGACAAUAGGUCCCAAUAUUUCAACAAAUAAAAGAAAGUCUCAAUUUCAAUCAACAAUAUGAACUUAUUAUGUCAUUCUGUUGACCUUAAAAACUACCAAGCUUACGUGGUGCGCAGGCCGAGUAACUAAUAAACUAACUAUAUCCUUCAAUUAUGUGCGGGGCGUGCUAACUCGUUGGCCGAACUCAGCCGGGGAGUAGAAUGUGUUGAUAUCGCGUUAGACGCGUUGCUGACUUCUCAAUAUUGCAACUGCGGCCGAGGAAGGAACACGUUUCGACCUUUGGGUUCUAAAGCUUGAAGACAAGACUGCUAGUUCUACGAAGUUCACAAAUCGUCGGCGCCGGGUUCGGUCACAGUGAUUAUAUUUGUGAAAGUAUAAGCAUACCAAACUAUAUGGAUACAAGUACUCAAAAGAGAUAUACGUCUUGAUUGUAAAUGUGGUUCGAGCAUCGGAAUGUCGAACUCUAAAAAAUACUUGUGAAUAUCCAAUCAUAAAACAAAACUCGGCUUUCAAUGUGCCAAGCCUAGUAACUUGUAACACCUCACUUCGGCGAGAAGGCUAAUGAGAUGACCUCUACCAAAAAGGAUCCGAAAAUCCUUGUCGACCGAGUCUUGGAUAAAUAACCAGUCGGCCUCAAAGCAGUGCUAUUUAUCUAAACUGAAGGUGCUCCUCGAUCAACUAAUUCUAUGAAUCUAGUGUUGUUUAUCCAAACUGAAUAUGUGUUGGUGGGAAGAAAAAGGGAGAGGAGAAAAUUUCAGGGUUGUAGAGAAAUUUUGCGCAUGGCAAUUUGAGUGUUGAAUUGGAGAGGCCUUGAAUGAUGCACUCCAUUCUCUAUUUAUAGUAGUGAAUCCCCUCAUGGCCGAACUAGAAAUGGACUAGGACUAGAACUCCUCAACCCAAUUUGACUAGGUUUCGGCCAAUCCUAAUUCCUAUAAGACUUUGAUCUAAGCUUCUUAACAAACCAAAUUCAUCCCCUAAUUCUCAGCAUCCUUAGCCUUAAGAAUCCUUGUUGCACUAGGAUUCGACCAACUCACACUUAUCCAAACCAAACCUCUUCGUAAUAGGAUUCGGCCGACCUUAACUGGACGGCCCAUAACAAGAUUCUAGAUGAAUGCCACCGGGCCGAGAAUGAUUCUAAGCUCGGCCCAAAAUAAUAUUUUGGGCCCAAACACAUCGGUACUAGGAUUUAGUAGUAUUCAUCUUAUUUAUAAGUUGAAAGUCUUAUGUUCUGACUCUUAUGUGCAAAGGUUCAUCAUUGAAACGUGAUCUAGUUUCUUCUUUUGUGAAAACAGGAUUUCGUUCCAAUUAUUUUUUUAAUAGUAAAUUCUUUCAAGUAUUACCAGCUUUUGCUCUUGACAAGCAAACUGCAGCUGAAGCAACAUUCCACCAGUUGCUUAAAGAUAGUUGUCUUCUUGUUAUUAACAGCUUUUGCUUCUCUCAGCCCAUUUUUGCUUAUUUCAGAACCAAAACUGAGAGGUUAGAGUUUGAGAGUGAUUUGUUUAAGCUAAGGAACUCAACUGUUAGAUUUCAAGCUUAGUGUAUCUGUAAGCUACUUUAUUAUUGAGCUAUCAUUCGAUUUUCAAUUGUUUAGGUCUGUUUGGUACUUUACUUGGAUUCAAUUUUUAAAACUCAAAAACAAUUUUCAAGUUUCAGACCUUAAAAACUUGUUUGAUAAGAUUAUUUUCAAAAACUGAAUUCAAAACUUUUUAAACUUAAACUCACUCCUUUAUUUUCUCUCACUCUUCCCCUCUCACUCCAAAUCUAUCUCUCUCCUCUUUUUUUUUUUUUUUUACCGUUUUCGUCUCUCCUCCAAUCCGCUAUCUUCAUUCUCUCGGUUCUUUCUCUCACCCCUCGUCCUCUCUAUCUCGUCUGAUCAUCUCUCUUCUUUCUCUUUCAUUCAAUCAUCUCUUACUUUCUUUCCUCCUCUCUUCUCUUUCUCCCUCUCCUGUAACCCCAUCUUUUUAGAUCUCUUUGUCUAGUUUAAGUCGUAAGAUUUAAAAAUUUUAAAUUGCAAACCAAUCAAGUUUUUGAGUUUUAAAGAAAAUUGUUUUCAAGAAAUGUUCUUAAGAAAUGUUUUGAGAAAUGUUUAAAAUUUUCAAAUAAGAUACCAAACAGGCCCUUAGAUUACUUAAUGAACUUUGUAGCUCACUCUUUUUCCCUUCCCUUUCAAAUCAGCUUGGGUGAGAAGUUGACAUGUUAUUUGAAGAUUUUCCUUCUUUUUGGAAGACCUUAGAUAGCUGUUUCGACAACACUGUGUACACUAAUGUUUUGUACCUUUGUUAUGAAUUUUGGAAGAUUUGUAGUUCAUUUUGAGGUCUAUUGUAAGAAAUGGUAAUGAAUUGUUUAUUUUCAGUUUUGGAGACUCGGAAGUAGUUACCUUUUGCUUUACAAGUAACGUGAAGUGUCGCCUGCUCGAAUUUAGCUUGGACCGAAUACCGGACGUGACAUAUGCACCAUUUAACCAAUUGUACGUCGUUAGAAUAUUUUCUUUUAAUCUUAUUUUACACACAGCGAUAACUAAACUGCAAAAAAAAAAAGGGUUCGAAUUUGGGUGCAUAAGAGGUGGCACAUCUGCUAUAGUCAAUGUCCCCUUAAAAGCCAAAACGAGAGAGAGAGAGGGAGAUAUACAACAAGCGCUCAAUUAAAAGAGAUACGAAGGUUGAUGCUAACAAUCUGAGAAGCUACACUCUAGGAAAAGAAAAACCAAAAAAACUAGGGCAACAUCAUUGUAUUUGUAUGUGCUUCAAAAACUGAAACAACAAAUUAACAAAAUAGGCAUGUCGACCUUUCGAAACAAAAGCCAAACGUACUUUUAAGCAUGUACAAAACAUCUCCUGGUUUUCGAGUUCCUCGGAAGGACCCUUUUCUCUUUUCACGAUUGCAAAACGAUCGUCCAUAACGCGAAAAUCCGUUCGACUCCGAACACCUUGUAAACACGAACCUACAAGUCCGAAUAGACAGCGAGACGCUGGUUCAAACCCUGAAAUAAACGCGUAAAGAUAAACGGUCCUUGAGUAUGUAAAUGAAAAAAAACAUCUACUAUUUGGUUCCUAAUUUCGUAUUAGUUGCUGUGAUUAGUGGUCGAACCAACUCGUAUAUCAAGUAAUGAGACAUUUAUUUAACAGAUUAGCGAACCCAACGGAAGAUAAUGAUGCUCAUAUGUAUGGAAGCAAAACAUUUGAAUUUGCUUGACCGUUCAGGGAAAUCAUAUCUACUUCUACUCAAGUUUUGUUCACAAGAUAGACAGGGCAAAGUCGUUUCAUUCAAAAUUCGGAUUCGAAUCUCCUCGGCCUCUCUGACAUCUACCAGAAAACCAAAAAUUAACUUGACGACGCUCAUCGGAAAAGAAAAGAAAAGACGACACUGGAUGGCCAUGCCGACGGGAGUAAAUGUUUCGGUUGGAAACUGCUGCAGGAAAACAUAAAGUUUGGGGACAUUUGUGCUUUUAGGAACGCUACAAAAUCGCAAAUGUUGAUCGCACUGAGAAGCUUGUGAGGUUCGAGAGAGAGUAAUCCAAUCCACCAUAGUACAAAGAAUUGGUGACUACUUUACAGCCUACAUGAAUUACACGACACAAAAAGCGCUAACGUAUGACAUAAAAAGGUUGAAUGCGCAGACGGGAAGGGAGGUGGAUUGUCUGCCCUCCCAUUUCCAUACUCUUCCAAUCCCCUCCUGUUUUGUGUGGUCACGGUUAAACCACGUCAACAUUUUAUAUUCCUAUUACUUUAAUGUUGACGUAGCUUAACCGUGACCACACAAACAGAAGGGGAUGAGAAGAGUAUGGAAAUGGGAGGGCAGACAAUCCACCUCCGACGGGAAGAUCCCUCAGCAAACCAAAAAGGAACCAAAUUGUUCAAUCUUCGUGGGACGGAAAGUAUGAACUCAAAAAUGCCAGAAACAAUAUGAUUUUCGACAAUUCGCGCUAGGUGAACUUCAAAUAGAAAUCGAUGCAUAAACAGGCAGUGACAUCCAGAAUGAACACUUUUCUAUCUGUUUCUUAUGCAUAUCGUCGAAUUACUAAAGAAACCAUAAAUCCUCGAUUCCCUACCUCGCUUGCAGGUUAGUCUACAAAGGUUCAGCUACCAAUCAAAUGUUUGCACCAACGGAGAAUAUUUGAUGUUCAACACUGUCGGUACACUAUCAUCUAUUAUUUUCACUCAAACCAAAAUCAAAACAAACAAGGAAAAACGAAAAUGUGUGUGAUCUCCGAGAUACUAGGUAAAACGAAACACAACUGAUUCGCAUAUUUGAUAUAACAUGUUUUUUGGUAGUGUUAAAACAUUUAUCUGUGCAAAUAAGGCCUACUGACGCUCCAGUUCGAAGAUGUGACUACGGGACAAAGGUUUCAGGGCCGAAGGGGUAAAGGAAGACAUAGGAAAACUUUGGAAGAGACCCUAAGAAAAGACCUAAAAGUACUUGGAUCUAACAGAGGACAUGACAUAGAACCGAGCGCAAUGACGUUCUAGGAUUCAUAUAGCCGACCCCACUUAGUGGGAAAAGGCUUUGUCGUUGUUGUUGUUGUUGUUAAAACAUUUAUCUGUUUUGUUUCUUAUUACCUACCACUUAAAAUCUUUUCUAGAGAACCAGAGAGUAAGUUUUUUCAUAGGUUCCUAUACAUGCCAAAAUUAGCACCAACAAUGGGAGAGGUAAACUUAGGUUCAACCAAAUUAACAAGACACUGCAUAGAAUCGAAUCAGAUGGAUGGGAGCUGAAAGCUCGGCCUAGUACCGUUUCAAGAACACGGCAAUUAUCUUUUUCCCUGAAUUUACGAGGCCAUCAAAUUAUCACAAAGGAAACCAAAAGGAAUCAGAGUUCAUAGAACCAGCUGAACUUCAACCUGUCACAGGAGGCAAGUCUUAAGAUGAACCUCUAACUUUCCACGGGUGACUAUUAUGCGUUUUUCUUUACUGCACUAACCUAUUCUCAACUUUUUCAUCAUGAAAUAGCUUUUAACAUGAACCUAUUGGGCCAAUUUUGUAUCCUUAUGAUUCGGUUUGUUAAGUUUACUUGUUUACAGAGUUUGGACACUUGUUACAUGUUUGAAACCUCUCACAAACGCAAAUCCGUAAAAAAGGAGAGACUAAACAAUUUUGGAAGCCAAACAAAUCUCUAUCCAAAAUUACAUACUAGCCUUUAUGUCCUGCCGUUUUAGGAUGUAAAUUAUACCAAGUCAUUUGUUUGAGAGGACACUAUCAUCUAAAAUAGCAGAUAGCUGACCAUACUGACGCCUAUAUCGAGCGGAAAUUGAUAAGGGGAACGACCUGAAUGCCAUUUAAAAGUUUACCAUGUUAUGUUAGCAGGAGAAUAUGCAACUCUAAGGAGAUAUUCAUCAACCAAGAAUUGCAUUUGUUACUAAAAUAUCUGAACAACUCUUACAGAACAUAAUUACAUACGAUAGUUACAAUUUGACGGGGUUGAAAAGGACAACCUAAGGUCAGAUAAUAGUCGGACAAGACCAUUGCCUCGAUAUGACAGAAGAAAGUAAGCUAUAAAGAAUGAGUUUAACCUACAGAUAUAAAAUUAACGCCAACUGCAUGGUAGAAGCAUACUGAUGGGGAAAAAGGAAGAUAAAAUACUCCAAUACAGUGUUCUUUUUCAUAAAAUUACAAACUGCUAUAACUGAAAAACAUGCCAUCUGAUAUGAAGAACAAUGCACUCAAACGGGAAGACAACAAACUACUGAAAUGAUUACCGCAAAAGAACAGCAGUUUCAAACAGAAAAAAAAAAUAAAAAGAUGCAGAUAAAGUAUUAAAAAUACACGGGAAUAAUACAAAAAGUACAAGAAAAUUGUCAAUAUAUAUCAACAAGUGUAACAUACACUACUAACACAACUGACUGGACCAAAUAUGCAAACACGUAUUCUUAAAGAGAAAAAACUAAGGAAAACAUGUACUAAAAAAGAUCUAGAAAUGACAAUGGCAGCGGCACCAAAAUAGGAGGAAGAAAAUACUUUCCCUUAGGAAACACAUUUGAGUACUAGACCAGCAAAACUGUCCAAACUUACAUGGAAACCAUGAAUAUAUAUAUAUAUAUAUAGAUAUAUAUAUGGUCAGGAUCAGGGAACACACAUGUUGACACACUUUCUAGGGCCCACUAACUUUUUUCAACGAUCCGAACCAUCUAUCUUUUAGGUCUUACUUCAAAGAUCAUGUCUACCAAAAUCUGAAACCAUAUGACCGUUGGAUUAAAUGGUAGUCAUUUUAGUGUUUCUUUGCUGGACUGUAUUCGUUCAUUUUCUUCACUACAAAUGAAUGUCUUAAUGGUUUUGGAUUUGUCUAAUUUUUUGCAAGGAUGAUCUAUGAAUGAUGAUUUGAAAAAUAGACAAUUCGAAUCAUUGAAAAAAAAUUAUGGAGUGAGCCCUACGAAAGUUUGUCAAAAAAGUGUCCCCAAAUCCUGACCCUAUAUGUAUAUAUAUAUAUAUAUAUAUAUUUUUUGGGUAAAGAGAAAACAUGAAUCUAUUAAACACGAAAAAUCUUGAUAUAAAAAGUUUAUAUCCUUAACUGUAUACAACAAUUCAAUCUUACAACCCACCACAAACAGAACUCCUGUGCUAUGAAACAUAGUUAUUAUCUGCUUUGCAUGCUUGCGAUCAAACAAUCCAGUUUACAAGAAACCAUUCUUUGCUCAUGAUUGCAACAGAUAGCUAAAUAUUAUAAUUCCAUUGAUUAUAUUAGUCCAAUGGAAAAGCUCCAAAGUCAAUUUCAAGGUGCCAAAGCUGCAUAACUCUCCCUAAACUUUGCUGACACCAAUACCCAGAGGAGAAGCCCAAAAAAGGAGCCACUCUCCAGCUCUUCAGCCCUCACAUCCUCAAAUAUCUGUAUAUUCUAUGAAAACAAUCCUAGUAAUAGACACCACUGAAAAACAUCCUCCCCACCAAAAUUGCCACAAUAUCUAUAUAAAUAAAGAAAAAUAUCUAGACAUACAUGAACAUUCUCGAGCCAACUACAAUAUUGAAAAUGUUGCCGAUGAAACCAGAACCAUGAUCAACAAACAAAUCACUGAAUACAAAUAUGCCUGCAGCAAGCCUAUCCAACCAGAAAUGUCACACCAUAAAAAGUUCUGCAAUUCUACUUCCUAGGAAAGCUGUGAUAAAACCUAAGGAUUUAAUUACACAAAAAUACCACCACAUCAGUUACACCAUAUGAAAAGAAAAGAAAGCAAGCAAAUAGAUUUUCCAACUAACAGCAUUUUCAAAAUGCAUGUUUCUCUAGAAAAACACAUUCAUUCAAAAGCACAAGUCACUAUCACCAGUGGCGGAGCUAGACAACGUUGGUAGCAGGGGCCAUAUAAGGGGCAUAAAAAAUACUAUCUAGACAAGAGAAAAUCAUUAUUCUCAAACCAUAUCACACAAGUAAGACAAUUCGAGGUUAAAAUCAUAUACCUAAUGAAAUAUACAAGACAAGAAAAAUCAAAACUACGUGAUUGAAGAAUGUAACACAAAAAAUUGAUGUGGUAAAUUUUUUUUCUGGAUGAAAUAUAUUGUAGUUGAAGUUUGCAUGUUGAUAUCUUAUGUCAGAUAAGCAUAUUGAUAACAAAUUACACAUUAACAUGUGUAUAUAUAAUUAUAUAUAUAUAUAUAUUAUUAAAAAAAAUUAUUUUCGGCAGAGGGGUGAUAAAAACAAAGGUUAUAUUAUGAUACUAUUUGGUGUUAUUAAAAAUUUAAAAAAAAAUUAAAAAAUACCUAUUUGGUGUAAAACAUUUGGGAAGAGAACCUAGACAGUUAUAGCUUAAUUUGGAGGGGCCACGUUGCAGGAUUUAGUUGAAAGGCUUCAUAUGAUUAUACCUUCUAUUGAAACAUUUACAAAAAUUGUAGGGGCCAUGGCCAACGUUGGUCUCUUGCAUGCUCCGCCGCUGACUGACACAAACAAAUAACUGAACGUGGAUGCCUAUACAGCCAGGAACUACACUAUAGAUCGAUAUCCAGAAGAAUGAUUCGCUAAAUCUAUCCCGUGAAGUAAGAGAAAACAAAUACUAGCACACAAGUUUCACCAUAUGCAAAGAAAAGAAACAAACACAUGAAUUGACCGACUAAUACUUCCAAAAGAUGUGUUUUUCUCUAGGAGCACACUGAUUCAAAGAAAAGUCAUACGCAAACAAGUCACUGGACAUAGAGCAAGCCUAUCCGGUAAAAAAUAGACACAUCACAUAUUGUUCAAUCGCCCAAGGAAAUAUGUGCUAAACCUAUGGCAUUAAUUAAUAUAAAACACAUACUAGCACAUAAAAUUUAAUCAUAUGCAAAGAAAAAAAACUAACCAUAAGCCAGAGACAGAAAAAUACCUAUACGGGGAUAUAAUUAUCAUUGUUGACUUCCAGACCCUUGCCCCGCUUGACUACCCAUUUGCUGCUGCUGCUGUUGUUGCUGCUGUAAUUGAAGGAGGAGGUUAGCCGCAAAUUGGAGCGUCGACUGAUACCGAUGAUUUUUGUCUGCCUCACCAUCUGGGGCGCUCUGACCAGCCCCAGCCCCAAGUGAAGGCUGAAGCUGCUGCAUUUGAUUUGGGUAUUCUGGGUUCACCUUUUCAGCCGCUACUGGCAGAAAGGUCUGAGACUGCGAAUUAGCACCAUAAGUCUGACCAGAAAAGGCCAUAGAAUUAUUGUGUUGCUGAGAAACAGGUGGAUUGUACAACACAGAAGUAUCUGUUCCAUGUGCUGAAAAGCCUUUCUGAGUACCAAGAGGAGCUUCAGCCAGAUAGUGCUGGUUGAGAUGAGAGGGUCCAAAAGUUUGUCCGCCUUGAGAAGGGAUAGUAAAAUUAUUCAAAGGCCUAGAUGAAUUUGCAGACUGCGAGGGCUGACUGGUAGAAGAGUCUGGGAAUUGGUUGAUACCAGGGGCUAGUGGGGUAGAGUGGUUGGAUGAGUUUGGAACAGAUGGAUAAGGUUGGUACUGCGAAUGAUUCUGUUCGUGUGGAUUAAACUGAUUACCUAAUUGUUGUAAUGCAUGACCGGUAUGAUCAGAAAUUUGUUGAUCUUGUUUCCAUCCAGGAGAAGAUACUUCACUAGGUGCAAAAGCAGGAAAUGAAUGCCUAGCUGCUGAGGAUACUGGUACCCUAGCACCUUCUGGACCAGACGGCUGUGCAUUUCCAGGCAGUAAAGUUGCCAGAGUGGCAAUAAGUUCAGGAGUUAAAGCAACUCCAGCUUGUGAUACUGCAGUACUAUUACUAGAAGCAUAGUCUUGCAGUUGCCCUCUAGAGGACUCGCUAGUAGGCGGAAACAGUGGUUUUGCAGAACGCUUUGAGUCCUCAUACAAAACCCUGUUAUAAUCCAUAUGCAAAAUAUGAUCCUCCUUCGGUGGGAUUACACUAUACUCAACUUGUGAAGAAGGAAUCUGCUGUCUAUCUAUAAACUGUGAAGGUGGCAUGGGCUGCAUCUGUUCGUGCAUAGAAGCAGUACUAGGAACUGGUGGAAACUUGAGAACCACACCAUACAGACGUUCAGGGCCUGCAACUUUUAAAACAUUCUUCAAGAAAUCUGAAGGAGGCACCAAAAAUAAGGUCAUCCCAUCAUCAAACUUUGCAACACCAGCACGGUUUUUUGCACCUAGAUAACGUAGGAAUUCAGUGUAGGAAGCAAAAUCAUCUUCACUAUCUGGCAAGAAGAAAACGAUAUCAAAUCCAAUGGCCUCAGCAUAGUGUUUUGUGAGCAUAUCCAGUCCAGUUCUAGCCGAACAAUUAACAACUUCAGGACUGCAAAACAGAAAACAAUUACAUUAAAUACAAACAAGAGAAUUCUCUCUACACGCACCAAAAACAACCCAUGCUGAUAUAAGAUAAGAGGGGCAACUAAGUUUAGUUUUGAAGAUUAUCCAGAAAAAGAACGAAAGAAUCAUAAUAAAUAUUUUUUGAAGUCCAAAAUCAUUGAGUGUAAACAAUUUGAAAAUAAAGAGAGAUACUAGCAAAUUUGAACCCACUUUAGUGCUUUUAGUAAUCAUAUUAAGGAUUUAACAACGUUAUUAACCAAGUUGUUUGGUUCCAAUCAAAAAACAAAGAAAAAACAUUGUUUGGUUUAUACAUUAUCUACCUGCAAACUGAAAUACAUACGGAAUGUAUGAUUAUGAGUAAACUCAAAUAUCAUUUCUAUAGGGUGAAGGAUAGGGUAAGAAGUAUUAGUUUGAAACUGUAAACUUGCAAAACCAUAAAGAAGAAAAGUUUAAAGCAUUGGGAUAGAUAGCUCCGGAAGGCAAGAUCAUAAUAAAUAAAUAAAUAAUAAUGUAAAUGUUUCACAUUAAUAAUAAGAUGACUGUAGUAUUUUCUAUGCUAAUAGUCUUAUUAAGUUCAAAAGGGAAGUGCUUCAGGGGCUUCUGGAAUAAAGUAGACAAACUGCUAAUAGUAAUGUCUUCAUCUAUCCAUACUUAAAAUACAAUGAAUAAAUAAAAAAAGGGUGUCAUAGAACAUGCAUUAGAAAGAAAAAAAAGCCUAGACACUAAACAAUGUUAAGUAUGAAGUAAGUCGUUUGAUCAAGCUCACCUAGACCCUCUUUCAAGACACAUCAUUUGGCACAUCAGUUGAAACAAUAAUUUAGUUUCCAAAAUACUGAGAAUGUAAAACUGGAUGAAUAAGAAACGGUUGCCAAUAUAAUCAUGAGAAAGCUGAUAUUGCAUGGAUAAAUAUGAACAUUUGUGAAAUACUAAGGUUUCAUAGUCUUGGUAACUUGAUAAUAUACUUUUAUCCGAAUACCAUAGCGCAGUGGAAUCCAUGUAUAUGUUCUAAGUAGAACAAAGAAAGUAUGCCAUACGAGUCCCCAAAGAAAAUGAUAAAAAACAGAAGAUGAAAGGAAAAUUGUACUCACAGCUCAUUUCGUAUUCCUUUUCCUAUAGGGACACAGCGAGCAUGGCAAACAGGUGUUCCACCCUUGGCAAUAGUUCCACGCCAUAUAAAAUCAUUUUCAGGAGGCCCUCCAACUGAGACCCUUACACCAGCUGGACUAAGGCGAUUCUUCCCUUGGACAUUCAUAGAUGGUCCAGAAGCACCUCCAUCAAUUACCGGACCAAGUCCGUAAGACGAGUCGAACCCUAAUCCAUGGUCAUCAACGUUUCUAAACUGAUAUGGAGGGUCGUCCAUGGACAAAGGACUAUCUAUUCUUGAUCGUUUAGCAUCCUUUUGAAAUUGGUUAGCAUCUAACACAUCCCAUGCACUAGAUGCAGGUCUCGUGGGUGGCCUAAUACCAGGCACAGGAGAAGACACGGCCCUAGGUGUGGGAGGAGACAGCUGCCUCCAGUUGGGACCCAUCAGGUUCUUGGAAUUUCCGUCUUGAUAAUUAUGAAGCGAUGCCAAAUCAUUCAGUUCUGGACCUGAAAGCAGAGGGUCAAACCUACCUUGAGGACCUAAAGGCCUCAUUGGAGCAUUUGGUCCAAGAAUGCCAUUUUGUGGUAGAGCUCCAGGAUAAUUAUUAGACAUCAUUGGACGGUUAUGACCAAACAUGUCCAUUGGUAAAGACUGAAAAGGAUGUUCAUUGAAUAACAUAUCUGACCUAGGUCCUUGGCCUCCAGGAUAAGGGCCAGGGUAUUCUUUCCCAGGUGCCAGCCCACUGCUUGAGAACAUAAUUGUAAUCCGAGGAUCAUUGAAAAGCCUGCCUUGCAAGCCCUCCUUGGCCCGCCGAGCUUCAUCCACACUCCUGAAUUCGACAAAGGAGUAGUGUCUUGAAGGAAAACUUUUAAUUCUCUCAAUCUCACCAAACAAAAUCAUGGCAUUGUGGAGCAUUUGUUCAUCAAUCUGCACAGAAGGAGGAUAGCCCACCCACAGAACAUUACUGGGUUGACUGUCACCUUUUCGUCCCCCGGAAGAUUGAGAAUACUGCAACAUGACACAAAAGUUAAGAGAAAAUAAUCACAACAGAGAAGUUUACUCCCAUUUGGAAUUCACAUACGGAUUUCCAUUUUCUAUCUAACCCACAAAAAGCAUAAAUCAGACCCUAGGGACCAAAGGUAAGUCUACAACUCUGAGUUAUUUAUUGGAGGUAAGAUGCACCUUGUGUGACAUAACCAGCUGACAAAUAGUUAUUAUGAAGCAACAAAUAUACACACAAUCAACAUUGUAAGAAUUUACCAUUUCUGGUUGAAACACUAUAUGCAACUUAUUCCUCACCUGUUGUCUUUUAUGUGAAUCAGCAGGCCCCAUGUUUCUGGCCAGAAACUGUCCAUCUCUGUAGUCAGGCUGUUCCUGUUCAAAAGACCAAAGGAAACCAGAAACUCUUUACAUAUGAAAAGAAAACGAAAUUUAACUAUUGUUCAUUUUCACUAAGCGUUUUAAUAAGUAACUGAAGCCGGACAUUUUACAGUGAACAUGCAAAUGCGUUAAUCAAAAAACACUGAUCAAUAAAUGAUUGUUAAUAGAUGCUUCUCCUGAUUCUUUGAUUCAAAUUCUUGUUGAUAAUAUGACUGGAGUUUCCACGCCUAGGUUAAUUGUUUCUUAGUUAUUCUUUUUUUUUUUCCAUUUAAACAAAAAAAAUGAUUAUAGGUUUAUGAAAUUUAAGUAAUUAUGGCGAAUUCCUACCAUCCAUUUAAUAAGUGUAAUAUAUAUUUGGCAUUGUUACUCAGGUGGGAGUGUCAUGUCCUUAAGACACCCACAUAGAACUAGAAAGAAUCUUUCAAAACAAAGUGUCAGCACCAGACAACACUGAAUUUGCCACGCAGAGAGCCUAUAACUGCUCUCUAAUGAAUUUUCACUUGCAAUAUUUCUGCUAACCCACAAAGUCCUGGAACCGCAAUAAUAUACCAUGGAAAUACCAUUGAAGUUAUGAAUAAUAAACUUACCCUUCUCGAGUAUUGUGAUCGAAGAUAAUCAACGCGUAUCUGGUCACCACCCAAUCUCUUUCCGUUCAUGUUUCUCAUUGCUUGGGAAGCAUCCUCCAAUUUAAAAUAUUCAACGAAUGCAGUAUUACAGUCUCUAAGGAACUUGAAGUCCUCCAUUUUUCCAAACUUACAAAACUCUUCUUCUAAUUCUUCCUUUGAGACAGAUGGGCUAAUUCCACCUACCCAUAGAUUCUUGCAAGGUUUUGCCUGUAAAUACAAGUGCAUAAGAACCACAAACUUCAGGUCCCCAAGAAUGUAAAAGGUGCACAAAUUUAUUUCAAGGCAAGGAUAAACAAACAAAGAGUGAAACAAAGUGAUCUCAGGUUUAAAAACACUUUGUACAACAGUUGCUAAGCAGAGGAAGAAAAUCACAAAUAUUACUAUGCUAGACAUAACAAUGGCAAGAUGAAAGCAUCAAAACUUGAAGUAAGCCAUAUCCGGACAGACUGGCUAAUGCAUGCAUAGUUAAGAACAUAUUCAGUAGAAUCCAUGCAUCAAAACAUUCAGGGGGCUAAUGCAUGCAUAGUUAAGGCCAUAGGCUUGAUUUCAUACUAAGAAAAGCUAAAGACAUACUAACACAAAAUAAAUGGGGAAAAAACAAAUCAACAUGAUAAACAUAUUCCAUCUCUAUUCCUCCUUUUGAUAAGGCAAUAGAAGCAACUAGGUCACUUGCUUCUUUUCCUAUUUGCAAAAAAUAAAAUGGCGUGUUUUACACUACAACGUAUGCCCCUUGCCUUAACCUAAAUAUGAUACCAUAUGAUUGUCCUUCUAUAACUUCAUAUUUGCAAAUAUCUACCGACCUUGGGUUUCACCCUUCCUCCAUCCCCAUAAGUGACAGGAUGGAGAUUUAAAGGUUACUGAUAGGUGAGGGGUAAGAACUAAAGUGUGACCAAGACUAGAGCGCAAUACAAGUACAUAGGAGAGAUAUCUACAUCUGUUUCACAAUGUUGCUAUCCCUACCAUUGUUUAAAUUUCUCUUUGUCAAUUUUGUUAUGGGACUACCAUUUUGUUGCAAGACAAAAAGCUUGAGAGAGAUGCACAACACUUGUAACUUUCUUUCCACAACACUUGUUCUCACAAGACUUUGUUCUCCUAUUAACUCGUUUAUUAAAACAUAUAUAAGCUCAACUUAUAAAAAUCAAUGGAUUGCAAAUGUACGAUAUAUGGGUGGUAAAAGAAGACAGUGAAGCUUAGUUCCUAGUAAAUUGCCAUCAAACUAGAAUUGUUAGAUCCGGUCUGCUCCAUCCUCAAAGGUUGAUUAGCUAUCUUUUGAGAUUUUUGUGUACACAAACACCUAACACUUUGGUGUUAACUUGAAACAGAAACACGCCUUUGUGCGCUUACUGGCAUUGGUAAACGUUUGAGUUGUUUGUCGAGGUAUUAAGUUUUGGGUACAGUCAAUGAGGGUAAAAUAAGAUUUCAAAUCAUUACACAGGAAUCAUAACUGAUCUUCCGCAGGCUGUAAUGUUUGUUUCACAGUUUGAUUCACAGGAGAUAGUGUUUGUUUCGCAGUUUGGGAGCUUGGAAAUGGUUAUAGAAUCCUUUCUGUUGUGUUUGCACCUCAAACAUUGAAACUAAAGCACAACUAAGAUUGGUGUGGGUGCACAUAUAUUAAUUUUGGUGCCCAAGUUGAAUUUGAAACAUGCCUAUUUUGGUACUAAAAAUUAUUAUGAAACUGAAACACAACUUUUGCACUCAAUGACGUCGGUUCAUAAUGUUGUAUUGCGCUUUAGGUUGAAAUGAAUCACCUAUCUGGACAAAGGGAUUUCAAUUAAUCACCUAUCAUGUUACUGGAGUCGUAUUUGAUCAUUCGCAGAGACCAACAAACACUCAGGUUGUGCACUGUUUCGCGGUUUUGGAGCUUGGACAUGUUUAUGGGAUUCCUUUCAAUGGUUUUUGAACCUCAAAAUCUUCAUAACUGAUCCUUUGAGAUUGGUGUGUGCACAAAUAUUGAGUUUGGUGCUUCAGUAUUGGUUAAAACCCCCCUUUGUGCACUAACUAACAUCGAUUCAAAAUUUUGGGAAAAAAAAGAAGAACAUUUAAAGUAAAAAAGCGAAGCUACUACUAAGUUCUUAUGCAGAGACCUAACCGCAGAUGUAAAAUCUGAUUCGCAGUUUUGAGGCUUAAAUUGGUUAUGUAACCAAUUGGUCACACUAACACAUAUCUUGGUAAUUGUUAAACUUUUACACCGAAUCAGAUUCCAUGAAAUAAAGGGAAAAAUCUUAGCAAUGGAUGUAUGAUUAAUUAAAAAUAUCCUUCAUAUCCUCAAAAUUAUCCACGCUGGAAUGGAAAUUAUCGAUGCUAAGCACUCUAGAAUGGGAUGCCUAAGAACAUAGGGUGUCGCAAAACAAGGGCAACUUAAAUCAUAACUGUGAAUAUAUUCUGAGAAAUUAAGGAAGCUGAACAUCAUCAGCAUCCAUAUACUUCUCAGUUUCCCCAUUGAAGAUUAUGGUUUUUCAUGCCUAAAAUGUUAUUGUUUAAGCCCAAUUCAACAAUUUGAAGCUUUUAGACUCGUAAGCGAAACUUUCCCAAAUCCGAAGAGAGAUGGAAAGAAGGGCAAUGAAAAAGGCGCAAAUUUCCUUAGCUUCUAAUCAAAUAAGCGCAUCACUCAUACUCUUCGUCUUUAAAAUCGGGAGCAUAGAUGAUGAUGAUGAUGAUAGGAUGAUGAUGAUAAGCACAAUUUGAUUGAAAUCGAAUAAACACGAAUUUCUUGUUCGAAAAUCAAAGCAAUCAAUAAAAAUCAUACAAAAACAACCAAAUAAACCUAACGAUGCACAAAGAUCAAUACGAACCGGUCGGGCAAACUCAAUCUUAACAGGGUUUCCGCGCAGAAGGGCACCUUGCAAUGCCUCCUUGGCCGCCGCAGCGUCCUCCACGCGCUUGAAGAACACGAAGGCGUAGCUCCGUGACGAGUAGGAGGUGACGCUAUCCAAAGCACCGAAUUGGGCAAACAGGUCCAUGAGAUCGGCGUCGGUGACGUCGCUCGCUAAAUUUCCAACCCAGAGAUUGUUCGACGGCGUCUCGGAAUCGUCUGUGCCUUGCUUGUUCGGUUUGGCCGCAGGCGCCAUUGCGAUUGAAUUGAAUUGAAUGGAAUUGGGGCUGAAUUGAAACCCUAGCAGUGUACAGACUGAAGAUUGGGCGAAACUACUUGAUUUUCUGGAUACGUUUAGGGUUAGGGUUUUGGGAAUUAGGGAUCGAAUAAUUAGAAAGGAGAUAUGCCAGAAAUGCCGGGAAAGCCAGUUAUAUACACAAGGCAGAGAUAGGCUUUCUUCCCUCACCCGUUAUACAAUACUGAAAUGACAAAUAUACCCCUAAGCUUUUGUGAUGGACCGUCCGAUUUCCGGCAAGCUUUCAAACCCGCGGCUUUCUUGCCACGGGUGCAUGAUAUCUGGUGCACCCAACAUAUCCUCUCCGGUUUUUUUCGAUGAUGAUCUUCGUAAAUUGUGUUCGUUCAUCGUAUAUUAUGUAAUCAGUUUUUGUCAAAUACUAUUUGGUUUAAUUUUAAAUAAUAAAUUUAAAAUAAUUUUUUAUCGUAAGAUAUACGAUAAAUGAACACGAUUCACGGAUUUUCAAAAUCCUCAUAAAGAGAAUCUGCCGAGGAUCCGGAUUCCUGGUGCACUGUGUUACAUAAAAUAAGUCCAACUUAGCAGCCUUCUUUCCUUUUCACACGGGUGGGCUCCGUGAACAACGGUAGCCCAAGCAUCUUCUUUCAGGAUUUUCAUUUAGCCCACAAGAUAUGGGUAUUUGCAAGAAGUGGAUUAUAUUGAGCCCUUUGGCAUUCCAUUGGAGAUAGCACAGGUUCCGUUCACUUGGAUGUGAUUUUAAUAUUGUCUGUUUGGAAAUACUUAUAAAAUAAUUCGAAAAGCAUUUUAACAAACAAAAUCACUUGUGAUUGUAUUUAGCAACAAAACGUACAAGCCCUUUUUUGUUACACGCCAAGAAGCAUUUUGAUUUUGAAUAAACUUUUAUAAAGCUCUUACAAUUGGAAGUGCUUCUUACAAAGUCGUCUUUUUAUUAUGGAUGGCUGAUUUGCUUAGGCCAAAAUCUCCAUUCUAAAAUUUCACCAUGAAUAUCGUCGUCGCCGCCACUACUACCUUACCAUAGCCAUUGCUACCACCACUCCUCCCCACCACCAUCACUCCAUGCCCACCACCACCACCACCACCAUUACCUUUACUGACACCACCUUACCAUGGACAAUUACUACCACCGCAACAUUACCGCCGCCAACCCCACUGCCACCACCCAUCAUCGUUGCGACCACCUCACUGCCAUCACCGUCUACCAACACCUCUAUUUUCACCACAUUUCCAUGGCCAUCAUUAUCACCCCCACAUUGCCGCCGCCAACUUCAGUUCCAUCAUCACCACCACCAUCGUCGUUGCCGCCACCUCACUACUACCACCACAUCACCUACACAAUCACCACUCACUGUAAUCGCCACUAUCACCACUACCAGGGUCGUCUCUGAGAUUUCAGGGGCCCUGUGUGAAAUUCAUAAAAGGGGCCUCUUAUAAGACAUCUUAAAAAAAUUGAACAAUGUAUUGAUACUAAAAAGCAAUAUGGAAAUAAACAAAACUUAAAAAAGUCUAGAAUCGAAGCUUCACUUAAAGAUGGCUCUUCGUGCAUUCUUUGCUGCAAAAUCAUCAAUUAAAUCUUCAUAAUCAAUUUUGUCUAAAAAAUCACUCUCAAUCGAUAUCAAAGCAAGUCCAUUUAACCUUUCCUGCAACAUGGUUGAUCGCAAGUAUGAUUUUAAUAACUUUAACUUCGAGAAACUCCUUUCUGCAGAUGCAACGGUAACAGGUACAGUCAACAAAAUUUUGUAUGCAAUGCUUGCAAUUGGGAAACAACGUAUCUUCUUCAAGUAGUUCAAUAUGUCAAUGGAUGUCUUUAUUUCUUUCAGCAAACACUCUCGUAAAAGCUUCAACUCUACUAAUAAUGCAUCCCCAUCAACAUCAAAAAGCUCAUAUUUCUUGAGAAAGUUUUGAAGCCGAUCACAACAAUCUUUCAAUUUAUCAUUGUCUAUCGAAUUCAACCGUUUUGAGGUGAACAAAAACCCAAAUAUAUCAUCAUACGCUUGAUAUUCUUCAAACCUUAUCUUUAAUGAACCAAUAGCUUGAUCUAUUAUAUACAAGAAGUAAUGAACCCUAAAAGAUUCCUCUGCUGAUUGUUUAGUUGGUUGGGAUGAUUCACCUUCAUUCUCAUCAAAAUGUCUUUUUCAACGAACUUGACGCUUUUCUGGAAACAUGGGAUUUCAAAAUAAACGAUCAAUCUUUGUACUUGUUCUAUAGCAACAUCAAUAAGCAUGUCUUUAGAUUGCAAAUCUUUGCUAACCUCAUUAACAGCAUCCAAUAUUUCAUACCAAAUAGUCAUGCCUAAUAAAAACUCAAAAUUCCCAAUGUCGUAUGUUGCCAAAUAUUUAGUUGCACUUCUUGUUACUAAGUCAUUAUCACUUUCUGCUAAUUGGAGUAAAGCUUUUUUUAUUUAUAGAGGUUGGGAUUGAAUUGCUUUAACACUCACAACACGGCUUUUCCAUCGUGUGGCCGAAAAUGAUUUGAGAGUCAGUCAUUUUAUAUUUUCUUUCAAAAUCAGCCAUCGUUUUGUAGAAUUUGCAAACAAGCUGUAAAUACGUUGUACUGUUCCAAAGAAGUCUUUUGCUUUACCACAAGAGUUUGUCAUCACAAAGCGUUAAGUUAAGAUUAUGGCAACCACACGGAGUGUACAUUGCCCUAGGAUUUAUAUCCAAAAGCCUCUUUUGUACACCUUAGUGUCUCCCUCUCAUAUUUGAUCCAUUAUCGUAACCUUGCCCUCUUACAUCAUCAAUAUCAAGAUCAAGAACUUUUAAUACAUUCUGCAACUCUUCAAACAGUUAUUCUCUUGAUGUGUUAUUCGCAAUCAAAUAUUGCAAGAAAUAUUCUUCUACUUUUACUAGAGUACUGUUCAUAUCCACACAUCUUAUGAUCAAGGUCAUCUGUUCUUGGUGGCUAAAAUCAGGAGUACAAUCAAGUAUCAUAGUAAAAUAUUUAGCUUCUUUGACUUUUUGAAUGAUUGCAGCUUUGAUUUCACAAGAUAUCAACAAUAUCAACUCAUUAUGGAUGGUAUGACUAAGAUAAUGAUAACGAAUCUCAUUAUUUUAGAAGCGUUGAAGAUGAUUCUUUAUUAAUGGAUCAGAUUCAGCCAUCAUUUGAACUAGGCCCAUAAAUUUUCCAUUACUUCCUUGAUAAAGAGUAUCAUUAUUUCCACGAAAAGCCAGUGUGUGUUUAGCUAAAUAUUUCACAAUGGAAAUCAACGUUUGUAGUAACUCCCUCCAAUGCUCUUUUUCUUUCUUGAUCUGGUCUUGCACAACUUUGUCAAUUGUUUCGUUUUUCUGCAAUCUAAGAUGCAAAUUAAUCCAAGUGGUCAUAUUCGAGAUGUGAUCAAAACUGUUUUCAUGCUCUUUAAGCCUCACAUUGAGAUGUGUCCAAUCUUUGUAGCCCUCAUUUGCUAAUUGACCUUUGAGAGGCCAUUUCUUGAACAAUUUACAACAAAAGCAUAACACUUUAUCAACAUCAUUUGAAUAGACUAGCCAAUCUCUAACAUGUUUCUCUCAAUUGGAUAAGUAUCGAGUGUAAAAGGCUGCAUUAAAACGCCUAUUAAACUGAUCUUGAGGACCUUUCUCAAUUGAUAGAUCUCUUGCACGACCUCUUUCUGCCAACAAAUCAAUCCAUUUAGGAUCAAAACUAUCCCAAAUUUGAGGAUCAUAAAUGUUUGAGGGAAUGGACUCACUUGGUUGAUCAGUGACAAUAGGAGCAUCUUCAUGAUUAUCAUUCUCAUCAAGGUCAUCAUCAAUUUCAUCAUUGCCCAAAUCAUCAACUAAUUUCUCAAUAUCAUCCUGUUGUUCCGUAAUUAAAUCAUCAACUGAACUUUGUGGUUCUUUUUCUUUCAAAAAGAACCUAUCAAUAGCUCCUUUUUUAGACGUAAUCAAUUGUUCAACUUUUCUUUUUCUUUGAUGCUUCAAGUAGCCAGAUGAAUAUUUUUUAGUAGGUGCCAUCUUUUAUAUCUCAAACAAGAUCACAAAAAAAUUAUAAUAAGUAUGAACAAUGAAACCUGAUAAUCCGUAAUAUGUGUGGGUCUAAUGAUUUUUUGUGACUGCUCUUCUCUUGUUUUUGCCCUGAAAAGUACAAAAAUAAAAAUAAAAAUCAUUAUAGAUGAGAAAUACCCAAAUCUUCAAAUUUCGAGUCAAUAUACUUAAAUUAGUAAAUAUCUUACUUUGAUCGAAGUCUACAUCACUCUGAUAAUUUGAAAGUUUCUCUUUAAUUUCAUAAAUUUAUAAAUUAGGGUUUAAUAAUUUGUGGGAAAUCUAACAGUGGAACGAAGAGAGAAGGGUUCGGGACACUGGUAGGCACAGCGUCUGAGAUUUUGACUUCAGUGCUCUGGUACUCUGGUGGAAAAGAAGAAAAGUGGAACGCAGUUACGCAGCGUUGGGAUUUUGGCGUGAGAGAGUGUAUCUGAAUUUUGCCUCGGUCAGUGGGUUUUCCACUUUAAUUGAUUAACUUUGCCGGUUUGCCUUUUAUUAAUUAUUAUUUUAUAUAUUUUCGUAUAGGUUGUAGCCGUAGGUAGUAGUCUAAGUCUGAUGGGUCAUGGAUGAUGGCUUAGUAGUCUAACAUGGCUUUUAGGUAGUAAUCUUGGCCCAUUAGAUUUUUAUAUGUAUAUAUUUUGAUUUGAUUAGUAUUUAUAUAUAAUAUUAUUAUAUUCAAUAAAAAAUAUUUUUGGGGGACCCCAAAAUUUUGGGGCCCUAUGCCAUAGAACCGAUCACACUCCCCCAAAGCCAGCUCUGACCACUACCACCACCACGACCUUGCUAUGGCACCACGUGCACCCCACCACUAUAACCACCACCUCAACCCUAGUGAAUUAAUGUGUGUUAGUUAAAAAUUCUCACUUAUGUCGAACCUCAAACUUAUUUCCCUAAUCCAAAUGCAGUGAUGAAGAUUUACUUGAGGGGCCUCAAGUACUAAUCUAUGUUACCAAUCUUUCCCACUCAAAGCAAAGCUUGAUUCCUUCACCCAAAAUGAAAGAAAAGGAGAAAAACAAAGCUUGAUUCGAACCACCUCACCGGAUUUGUAACAAUAAAAACAUCAAACUCACAACACAGACAUGCCGAAAAGGCAUCGAUUUCUACAGCCUAACAUUUUUGCUCUCUCUCUUUUGUUGGGCUUGCCCCAAAAUCUGUAUGUUCAUACAAAUCUAACCUAGUUAGCAGACCAUUGGAUUGGAUUUAUACAGUUAGAAAAACUUCUGUGAAAAGGCUAUCGAGGUCGCAGUGGCAGCUAUUUCUGAUGCUUUACUGUUGCGGCUCCUUUGUCGUGAUGCAAGAUUCCACGUUUUUGAAGAUAUUGUUGCACAGAAGCGGGUACAUUUGUUCUCAACGACCCAGAAACUGAUAUGAACCUGUUGAACAGUAGCUUUGCCAAUCCAUCUAUUUCCGAUUCAUAUUGUUCACAAACAAAAAAUAGCGUGAAAGCCAACACCAGCGCUGCAAAAUAUGUCCAACAAGAUCAACACAAAGUUUAAACAAAUAAGCGAUUAAUUGACUCGGGCAUGGUGAAACUGGCAUUCUCUUACCUACACCUAACGACACAGUCGAGGCAUGAGACAAAAUCAACUUGAGGAAAAAGAAGGAAGCUGCAAACUGUAGAGAUGGCCACAAGAGAAUAAUUGCUGUCAAUGAAAACUCACCCAUUCAUAUAAAAGUUGCAUUUGGAAAUAUUAGAAUUUAUGUAUCAGAAAGAUAUUUGUAAAUAGAAUAAUUGAAGUUUAAACGGUUAUUUUAGAAAAGAAAGAAAAGAUGCUGAAGUUCAUACUCUGCAUGGAUCAAAUUGACGCAAACAUUUCCAACAAGUAUAAUAAGCAGGAGAUACAAUAGUAUUGGUAAGUAGCGUUCAAAUACCGCCAGUCAAUUACAAUGUAAAUCAUUCAAAUGGUCAUAUUAAUUCUUGAGAAUCUGGCCAAGACGAAUAAAUGAAUUUAGGUCCAAAUUUUCCUAACAUACACAAAUUUUGAUAGCUAAAACUGGCAAUACCUGUGCUCACGAAAAGGUUUCGCGGUUAAAAGUUACAUAAAACGUGAAAUUGGACAUUUUCCAGGAGUCAUGCACUUCAAUAAAGGGAAUAAAUUAUUAGUGCAUACCUUGAAGAAAAUAUACCACCCAUCUCCCUGGGCCAGUAGUCUCAAAUAACAAACCCCUCUGUUCCACAGAUAUGCUAUCAUUGCAAUCUUCUCUUUCACUACCAUUUCAGGGAUCUCAAAACAAGAUAAAGAUAGUGUCUUAAAGGUAAAACCCAACCUGUUCGAAAGACAUUAUGGUCAGUAUAUGUAAAUUAACUAAAGCACAAAAGAAUUCUUCCAGCACUUACAAGUUUAAUCAAGCAAAAGCUUUGUAAACACAAAUACUUACAUCUUGGGUGGUAGAAUCCCAUAUCCAUAGAGGCCAAAUGAAACUAACAGCAGAAGCUUGGACAAAGACGAGGCAAAAGUUCUUCCGGAAAGGAAAAACCAGUAAUACAACAUACUCAAAGCAAGGAAAUAUGUAAAAGUCUUCUUCUCAUCACGCCACAGCAGAAUGUCUGCAACUGCAGUGACAGUUCAAUGUCAUUCUACAAUCCAAAUAAAAAGCUUUCAUGAAAGUUCUAGUAUGCAUAUUUUUCAUUUAUCAAAGCAAGAAACUUUCGAUGAAAAGAAAAAGUACAAAAACAGAGGACAAAGUGUCGUCUGGCCUGAGUGAAUGCAUAUGAACGACAAUCACGUUUAAUCCAAAGAUGUUUUCUGAAAUGCAAAUACUGUCUAAGUUGGUGUGUUCCAUUUAUUUUAAACUCUGUUCAUCAGUUGAAGUAAAGCUGUGGACCAAAUUGCGUAUUACCAUGGGACCAUGCAAGAACAAAUUAACAUAUGUAGCACUUGAACCCCAAAACCAGGCACAAAGUUCUGAUUCAAUCCCAGCCCUACCCAGUUAUAAAUUUUGUUACUAGGAGUCAAACACACUCGGAUAAAUACUGGGAAAUCUGAUUUGCAGGUUUGAGGAUAAGUGAAAGCAAAACUUCAUCCCAGAUAAACGAAAAAGGAGCGCAGAGUAAAAACAAUAUAAUUAAAAAUGAAAAAACGACUUCAGGCUUACAAUGUGUAGCUGAUAUCAAAAUUGAGCAGAAAAUAAAAUGGUACUACGGAAAACAACCUUCUCCACUGCCUAGCAGCUUCUCCACUUUUGAUUCCUCAUUAAAGUUUCUGAAAGUUGGGAUAGAUGAGUUCCUGGCUAUAUUAGAGAAUGACUCGACGGUUAAUUUCACACCUUCCUGUACACAGACAAAGAAGAAUGUUAAACAUGGAAUUGUUAUGCUCUAUAGUAAGCCAUAGGAGAAUAUGACAAUAUACACCACUUUAAAUGCAACAAAAACUGUAGGAAUUUGUUUUCCAAAACGAAAGGAUCAGGGAGCAGUCUUCAUUAAUUUUCUGUUAUUAGCCGACCCCACUUAGUGGGAAAAGGCUUUGUUGUUGUUGUUGU